AGAUGCCGUUCCAUCGCUCCCCUCCUCCAAGACGACGUUUCAUCCAAGUCGUCCCUCCCAAUACGACGAUUCAGGCAUUUCUCUCGCUCUCCAAGAUGACGAUUCCCUUAAAAGCGAGUUUCCAUCAUUCAAUCGUUCAAUCCAAUAAAGUAGAAAAAGGGUUUUGCACCGAGUGGGGGAAUCAUACUGUAGGUUGAUUUUCUUGAGAAGUGAAAGGAUUGCAAGUUGAUGUUCUUGUGGAGGAUUUAACACAACUGAGAUAAUGACCAUUGCGUAAAUCAAAGCAAAUGAUGGCACAACGAUCUUGGAGCAGAUGGAUGUUGACAAUCAAAUUGGAAAACUUAUGGUUGAACUGUCCGAAGUCAAGGCUACGAGAUUGGUGAUGGGUUGGUGGGUAGAACUGGAGCUUAUAGCAAUAGCAACUGGUUUGUGGUCACUGAUUGGCUAUUUAAAACUAAGUUGCCAUUUACCAAACACUUACCCGGAGAGGAGUUGUUGCAUGAGUGAAUCAAGGUCAAGUGAUUUUUCCACUUUAAUGACUAUGAAGCAAGGGACUGCUGACAUUUACAAGAAGUAUGGUUUUUGUUUAAUUUGAAGUAUGUGUUGUCGGGAAUGUAAAGUGCAAUAAGCGUAUUAUAGAUUAAGAAGAUUGUGUUGUCGGGGAAUGUCAAGUGCAAUAAUUUAUUAAAGUUUGUAUUGGGGGUUUGUCUUUUGAGCAAAUCUGUCAAGAGAUAGAACAAUGUAAUACUAAAGAUGCAUCGAUGAGUACAUCUUUUCAUA
Long non-coding RNA from Cynara cardunculus var. scolymus (artichoke), 780 nucleotides. RefSeq lists it as uncharacterized. The transcript has 3 exons. Lineage: Eukaryota; Viridiplantae; Streptophyta; Magnoliopsida; Asterales; Asteraceae. The record is from RefSeq and is a predicted model, not a curated record.